This 269-nucleotide ribosomal RNA is filed under the name uncultured prokaryote. Its description in RNAcentral is "partial 16S ribosomal RNA". It matches the Rfam family "Bacterial small subunit ribosomal RNA", at positions 524 to 792 of the family's 1533-position model. The record is from RNAcentral.
UACGUAUGGGGCGAGCGUUGUUCGGAUUUACUGGGCGUAAAGGGCUUGUAGGUGGUGGAUCAAGUCGGAUGUGAAAUCUCCGGGCUUAACCCGGAAAUUGCAUUCGAAACUGAUCCGCUAGAGUACCGGAGAGGGAAACGGAAUUCCUGGUGUAGGGGUGAAAUCUGUAGAUAUCAGGAAGAACACCGGUGGCGAAGGCGGUUUCCUGGCCGGAUACUGACACUGAGGAGCGAAAGCUAGGGGAGCAAACAGGAUUAGAUACCCCCGUA